ACUGUUGAGAGUUCCGACCGUUGCUGCAUUACGCGCCACCUCACCAAUCUUAUACACACCAACGGUCAUAAUAUUUAAGGGCAUUUAUGUCAAAUCAUGUCGGGAUGCUCCCAAGAUAUAAAUAGCCAGCCCCCACAACCACUAGCUGGUUGGCUGCUCCGUGAAAAACUGACACUUGUCAUUUAGAGCAACCCAAAUUCCUCAGAGUCUUCGAGAGUAAAUCAUCAAGUGAGGAAAUACCCCAUACACCAAACCACAAACCAAAAACCAAGUGAUUGAGCAUCACUGAAGAAUUUGUUCCUGUGUGGAACUGAGGCCUUUUACCUUUGAGGCCUGUGCAUCCUCCAGACGGUUAGGUGUCAUGGUCUAGAGCAAUCCAACAGUCAAUUAUGGAUCGUCGGGUGACCGGGUUUGUGAGCGUUUGGAAGUCUGCCCUGAAGACUUACCAUGAGUGUUGGACGAGGACUGUGUGUCCUUAGCUCAAGGAGAAUACGGUAGGGACUUUGUGUCCCGAGACCGUGUGUCCUUUGGUUUCAAUACCAAGCCGCUCCAAACCAGACGUAGGACUGUCACACCAGUUGGAACUGGGUCAUCAACAAUUGUCUUCGUCAUAAUACGGG
RNAcentral lists this long non-coding RNA (620 nucleotides) under Hordeum vulgare. Its description in RNAcentral is "long non-coding RNA (HVUL_LNC014544)". The record is from RNAcentral. Lineage: Eukaryota; Viridiplantae; Streptophyta; Magnoliopsida; Poales; Poaceae.